GCGAUUCGACAUGAUCUGAUUUAUUUAUUUCCUUGUUUUCUUUUUUUGUUCUUUUUUAGUUUUAGCUGAAGUAUCAUUGUGUUAUUGUAUAUUUUUGAUUUAAUUUUUGUUGCUAUAGUUUAUUUGUACCGUGAGGGGUCGUUGAAUUUUUUUGUGGAAGUUGAUUUUGUUUGUUGUACCUUGUGUAUCAGGGUUUAUUGAAUCUUAUUAUUUAUUUUUAUUUCCCGAUUUUGGAGGAGUUAAUAGUUCAUGUUGGUUGUUGUUUCAUCAUCAUCAUUAAUGGGUUAUUGGUAGUGAUAUGUUAUUCGUCUUUGUUGGUUUCUGGUUUUCUGAGAAAUGAAUUUAAUUCAUGCGUCUUGUUUAUAGAUUGUUGUUGUUUUAUUUCUUUUUUACUUGGCGUUAAUAUUAAGGGGGAUUAGCUCUUUAUUUUAUUGUUAUAACUUUGUGUUAGUUUGAUGUAGUUCUGUGGAUUUUAUGUUGAUUUUCAAUUUGAUUAUGUUAAAAUUUUAUUUGGUCUUUUUUCUAUUUUUUGUUUGUUUAUUUUGAUUUAUUGGAAUGUUUAUUUUACUUUCUUUUGUUUAGUAAUUAUUAUGGGAUUAGUAAAUUUUAUUUUUGGUUUGUUUAUUUGAUGUUAAUUCCUUCUGAGGAAUUAGGCAAAUUUUUUGUGUCCGCCUGUUUAACAAAAACAUCUUUUCUUGAUAGUUUUUGAAGUAUGGUCUGCCCGCUGACACGUUAGUUGAAGGGCCGCGGUAUUUUGACCGUGCAAAGGUAGCAUAGUCAUUAGUUCUUUAAUUGUGAUCUGGUAUGAAUGGCUUGACGAGACAUGAGCUGUCUUAGGUGUGGAUUAAUUUGUUGAAUUUGUAUUUUGAGUUAAAAUUCUUAGAUGUUUUUAUGGGACGAGAAGACCCUAUAGAGUUUUACAUUAGGUUGUAUGUUCUUUUUGUUUGUCUUCCAUUUUUAUGCUCCUUUUGUUUUGUUGGGGUGAUGGGAGGAAUAUUCUUUAACUCCUCUUUUUAUUGUUAUACUAAUUUGUAUUUGUUUUGAUCCAUUUAUUUUGAUUAUAAGAUUAAAUUACCUUAGGGAUAACAGCGUUAUCUUCCCUGAGAGUUCUUAUUGGCGGGGGGGUUUGCGACCUCGAUGUUGGAUUAAGGUUUAUUUUUGGUGUAGGAGCUGAAUAGAUUAGGUCUGUUCGACCUUUAAAAUCUUACAUGAUCUGAGUUCAAACCGGCGUGAGCCAGGUUGGUUUCUAUCUAUAAUAAAUUUUAUGCCUUAGUACGAGAGGACCGGGUAUUUGGAAUAAUUUUGUUGUUAUUGGGUUAUUGUUAAUGUGGCUAUUUUGGCAGAUAAGUGCGUUGGAUUUAGAAUCUUUU
Molecule: ribosomal RNA, 1370 nt
Filed under: Odontotermes nr. pauperans RDCT160
Lineage: Eukaryota; Metazoa; Arthropoda; Insecta; Blattodea; Termitidae
Description: 16S ribosomal RNA
Rfam family: Bacterial large subunit ribosomal RNA (bases 890-1256)
Source: RNAcentral